UUGUUUCCCCUCCAGAUCUACCAUCCAGCCUUUUCUACCCUGAUCACCACCCAGGGGACUGAUCCAUGUGUCCCACACCAAUGGCCACCAUGCUGACUGUCUUCCACUUCCCUUAUUGGCAGAUCAACAGGGAAGACCAAAGGAGGUGCCAGUUAGGUGUGUUGAGGUGUAGGUAGCUUCUCAUUUGACAAAUCGGAGGCUGAAACAUCAGGACUCUCAUCUGGAUAGGAUGAAGCAGCCCUGGGAGAUGCUGGGUUGGGCGGCUGUAACCUGCAGCGGGGUGAAGCCUCACAAUGCCUCGCUCUGUGUGUGAAUUGAGCACACUGGAUGUAUGCAGGUGUUGUUGAAAGUACACACGGAAUACAAGAGCAGGUGCUGCAGUCAAAGAGGCGGACAUCAGCAUUGCCUCCCAGGGUCCCUGAUGAAAACCCCCAGUUUCCAUGUAGGACCUCCCGUGGUGCUGGGAAGCUGACUCAAACGCCAACUCCAGGUGGGAGCCUGUGUGUGACACAAGGCAGGUUAGUGAUGGUUCAGGACCCAAGUCACAAUGACUAGUUCUCAAGGAGUGUGUGAUCCAAGUGAAACCACUAAAAGUGACUCUUGGGGACAAAGCACUCAGGAAGAGGUAAUUACAGAGGCCAACUGCGUGCCACGGACUGUUCUAGACAAUUGUAAUGAACAGCAGAGACAUGGUCCUCGCCCUCCAAAAACCCACAUUCUUCAAGAAAACACAGUAUGCAGAUGUGAGGCCAGGAAGGAAGUCAGCGGAAGAGGACAAGGCCGGCACACCAGGAGCUCAGGACACCAAGAGCCAAUGAAAAAUGGAGCCUGGGGCCUGUUCAAGCUGUUCCUGUAGUCCACCUUACUCCCCAACUUUCCAAAUACAUGAACCGACACACGUCCUCUAUCAUU
Molecule: long non-coding RNA, 912 nt
Organism: Acinonyx jubatus (cheetah)
Lineage: Eukaryota; Metazoa; Chordata; Mammalia; Carnivora; Felidae
Exons: 2
Source: RefSeq, a predicted model, not a curated record